RNAcentral lists this ribosomal RNA (497 nucleotides) under uncultured bacterium. RNAcentral's name for it is "partial 16S ribosomal RNA". It matches the Rfam family "Bacterial small subunit ribosomal RNA", at positions 28 to 507 of the family's 1533-position model. The record is from RNAcentral.
GAUGAACGCUGGCGGCGUGCCUAAUACAUGCAAGUCGAGCGAACAGACGAGGAGCUUGCUCCUCUGACGUUAGCGGCGGACGGGUGAGUAACACGUGGAUAACCUGCCUAUAAGACUGGGAUAACUUCGGGAAACCUGAGCUAAUACCGGAUAAUAUAUUGAACCGCAUGGUUCAAUAGUGAAAGACGGUUUUGAUGUCACUUAGAGAUGGAUCCGCGCCGCAUUAGCUAGUUGGUAAGGUAACGGCUUACCAAGGCAACGAUGCGUAGCCGACCUGAGAGGGUGAUCGGCCACACUGGAACUGAGACACGGUCCAGACUCCUACGGGAGGCAGCAGUAGGGAAUCUUCCGCAAUGGGCGAAAGCCUGACGGAGCAACGCCGCGUGAGUGAUGAAGGUCUUCGGAUCGUAAAACUCUGUUAGUAGGGAAGAACAAAUGUGUAAGUAACUAUGCACGUCUUGACGGUACCUACUCAGAAAGCCACGGCUAACUACGUG